GAAUUUUCCCCACAAAUUCUUUGCACAACUGGACCACCACCUAUUUCAUUUGAUGACAAUUUAAGGCAACAGCAUCCAAAACUGGCAAGACAGCAGAUACCUUGGCUAAUCUUUUGAAGGUUUAUGAUGAGCAGGAACUGCAUGAUGUCAGUUCAUGACGGACUACUGUUAUCAGAGGUCUUUUGGUCUUGCUGCGUGAGCGUGACUUGGGAUUCUUUAGAAACACCCUGAUCGAUAAUCCUGAAGUGCUGACUGAAGAUGCUUUAUUGGCCCUGCAUUCACUGAGGG
Danio rerio (zebrafish) is the source of this 288-nucleotide non-coding RNA. The record is from RefSeq and is a predicted model, not a curated record. Lineage: Eukaryota; Metazoa; Chordata; Actinopteri; Cypriniformes; Danionidae.